GACGGACCACACAAACGUUAUUCGGAAUUACUGGGCUUAAAGGGUGCGUAGGCUGUGCAGUAAGUUGGGUGUGAAAUCCCUCGGCUCAACCGAGGAAUUGCGCCCAAAACUACUGUGCUCGAGGAAGACAGAGGUAAGCGGAACUUAGGGUGGAGCGGUGAAAUGCGUUGAUAUCCUAAGGAACACCAGUGGCGAAAGCGGCUUACUGGAUCUUUUCUGACGCUGAGGCACGAAAGCUAGGGUAGCAAACGGG
This 253-nucleotide ribosomal RNA is filed under the name uncultured bacterium. RNAcentral describes it as "partial 16S ribosomal RNA". It matches the Rfam family "Bacterial small subunit ribosomal RNA", at positions 524 to 776 of the family's 1533-position model. The record is from RNAcentral.